RNAcentral lists this long non-coding RNA (2764 nucleotides) under Salmo salar (Atlantic salmon). Its description in RNAcentral is "lncRNA (ENSSSAG00000116772.1)". Lineage: Eukaryota; Metazoa; Chordata; Actinopteri; Salmoniformes; Salmonidae. The record is from RNAcentral.
UCUAGAGACAGCACCAUGGUAACAGUCUACAGCCAUGGUCGUUAGGGGGCAUGCGUCACGGCGACAGUGGAAGGCAACGGAAAGAGAUGAAAAAGAAUAAGAAGAGAUCAGAGCAUGUGUGUGUGUGUGUGUGUGUGUGUGUGUGUGUGUGUGUGUGUGUGUGUGUGUGUGUCAGAGCGGGCAUGUGAGAGAUGGUUUUCCCAACAGGCAGGCAACCCAGAGCUCAGGCCAGCUAUCUGACACACACAGCUUUCUGAGCCAGACGCUGCCUGCUGCAGUCUCCUACUAUCUCUUAGUAGGUCAAAGGGACACAGAUGCCGUUCACUGCUGGAAGUUCUUAUAUACACUUCUUUACAGAGUUGUCUAUAUAUGUCAUUGGCAAAAAUGAUACAUACACAACACUUUAAAACAAAAAAGGAUUAACUUUCAUUUUAGACAUAGCUCUCUUUCUCUUUCUGUAAAGAUCUCAAUUGCGUACUCCUUCGCGUCCUCUCUGCUCGUUUACUUCUCAAAACCCAUUGGAUGAGAGAGCCUGAGAUCCCUGACCUCUGACCUUUUCCUCCAAUGAGUAGAGAGGAAGACGAGAAGAGUAUGCAAUUUAGAUCUUUCCUCUCUCUCUCAAUGCAACACGAUGGCUAUAUUUCUGCAUAAAGGCAUAUUUUACAUAGUUUGAUAUUUGUAAAACAAGUAUAUGUGAAAACAGUCUGAUUUUGAUAAACUAGCCAAUUAAUAUUAGCAUUUUUUUAGGAUCAAUUUCCAUUUCAGUCAAAUUUUCCCAUUUAGCAUCUUUUAAAUAUUAUUCCAAAAUCAUCUAAAAUUGUCUUUCAACCAAGUCAGUGAGCAACACAAUCCAUUUAGGCAAUGAUUUGGCCAUGAAAUGUCUUGCUGUUUGCUUAGCUCAACAGGUCAGUGCGUGUCAUUGAUGCCACAUCUGGAUAGAGUAAGUUAUGUCUUAGGUAGAAAGGAUCUCAUGUGAUAUAGAGACAGAACCUCAACACACACUUUAAUCUGUAAACAUUUAAAGCACUGUAAACAAUGUGAUUGAUAAAAAAAAACAAUAAAGUGAUAUUUGGAUAAAUGUAAUUUGUCUGUUGGUUUUUGGGGGUGGCAUGUGUUGCAAAUAUUUGGGUCACAUUUUUUUAUUUUUUAUUUCACCUUUAUUUGAACAGGGACAACUUUGAGACCAAGGUCUCUUUUACAAAUAUGACCUGUAUAAUACAACAUAAAUAUAUACAUUAUACCCAAACAUAUACACAAUAAAAUACAUAAACACAGUCAUGGGAAGCACAAAUAAAACACUACAAAUUAUCCAGAAAAACAGUUACAUUCCUCUACAAAUAAGUCUCCAAUCCAUACUUUAAAUUGCCGAACGGCACCAGAACAGAGAUGAAAUGUAUUUAAAAUUUUGUUCCAGCAAUACAGUACAUUAAAACUAAAAGCGAAUUUACCUAGCUCGGUGGAGACCCUAGGAACCUCAAGUGUUAACCAAUCCUGUGAACGGGUUAGGCAACUCAGGUGUCUAUACAAAAAGGGAGUAAUGUAGAGAUCUACGGGUCUUCAGCGAAGUCCAGACAACUUUUUACGCCUUUUUCUCCCCAAUUUCGUGAUAUCCAAUUGGUAGUUACAGUCUUGUCCCACCGCUGCAACUCCCGUACGGACUCGGGAGAGGCGAAGGUCAAGAGCCAUGCGUCCUCCGAAACAUGACUCUGCCAAGCCGCACUGCUUCUUGACACAAUGCCCGCUUAACCUGGAAGCCAGCCACACCAAUGUGUCGGAGAAAACACCGUACAACUGCGACCGUGUCAGAGUGCAUUUGGCCGGCACUCACAGGAGUCGCUAGAGAGCGAUGGGACAAGGACAUCCCAGCCGGCCAAUCCCUCCCCUAACCCGGACGAUGCUGGCCCAAUUGUGCGUUGCCUCAUGGGUCUCCCGGUCGUGGCCAGCUGCGACACAGCCUGGGAUUGAACCCAGAUCUGUAGUGACGCCUCAAGCACUGCAGUGCCUUAGACCGCUGCGCCAUUCGGGAGGCGAUCCAGCCAACCUUUUGAUACAGGAUGCAGUGAUGAGUAUCAAAACUGUCACCUUUAACAAAACAAAGAGCACUAUGGUAGAUGGCAUCCAAAGGAUCAAGAGUAGUAGCAGCUGCACUUUGAUAAUAUCACCAUAACCAAGAACAGAUAAAAAGGUUGAUUGAAUAAUCUGCUUCCUACUGCUAAGAGAAAGGCACGAUCUGUUUCUGUAGAAAGAGACAACUUUAAACCUUAGCUUCUUAACCAGCUCAUCAAUAUGUUUUUUUAAACAUCAAAUCCAUAUAAAUCCAAAUGCCUAAGUAUUUAUAUCCGGGAACACGUUCGAUUGGAGAACCAUCUAAUGAGUGAAUAUGUAGUUCAUCUGAAACAUUCUUACGAGAGUUUGAAAACAACAUGUACUUCGUUUUGCACGCAUUAAGCACACGUUUUGAAUCAACAAGUGAUUCCAGCGUAGGUAUAAAGUCUGACUUUAGUCUUGACACAACCAGAUCAACAGACAGGGCAAUAACAUACAUAAUACUAUCAUCCACAUAUAGAUGAAGUUUACCAUUUUUAAUUAACAGAUUGACCAAUGGUGUUUAUAUAAAUAGUGAAGAGAAUAGGUCCCAAAGUCGACCCCUGUGGUACACCUUUAUGUACAUUAAGGGUCAGAGAUACCAUAUAGUUACAUAGAUGGAGAAAUUGAUGGAUAGAUAGAGAAAUGGAGAGAGGAAAAGGCGUGUGUGUCCUCUCAU